GAGGUGGCAAGCGUUGUUCGGAAUUACUGGGCGUAAAGGGCGCGUAGGCGGCCUUCUAAGUCAGACGUGAAAUCCCCAGGCUUAACUUGGGAACUGCGUCUGAUACUGGAGGGCUCGAGUGCGGGAGAGGGAUGUGGAAUUCCAGGUGUAGCGGUGAAAUGCGUAGAUGUCUGGAGGAACACCGGUGGCGAAGGCGGCAUCCUGGACCGACACUGACGCUGAGGCGCGAAAGCUAGGGGAGCAAACGGGAUUAGAUACCCCGGUAGUCCUAGCCCUAAACGAUGAGUGCUUGGUGUGGCGGGUAUCGAUCCCUGCCGUGCCGAAGCUAACGCAUUAAGCACUCCGCCUGGGGAGUACGGUCGCAAGGCUG
This 370-nucleotide ribosomal RNA is filed under the name uncultured organism. Its description in RNAcentral is "bacterial SSU rRNA". It matches the Rfam family "Bacterial small subunit ribosomal RNA", at positions 528 to 896 of the family's 1533-position model. The record is from RNAcentral.